AUUGAACGCUGGCGGCAGGCCUAACACAUGCAAGUCGAACGAGUGGCGGACGGGUGAGUAAUGUCUGGGAAACUGCCUGAUGGAGGGGGAUAACUACUGGAAACGGUAGCUAAUACCGCAUACCAUCAGAUGUGCCCAGAUGGGAUUAGCUUGUUGGUGGGGUAACGGCUCACCAAGGCGACGAUCCCUAGCUGGUCUGAGAGGAUGACGAGCCAAACUGCAACUAAGACAAGGUCAAGACUCCUACAGGAGGCAGCAGUGGGGAAUAUUACACAAUGGGCGAAAGCCUGAUGCAGCCAUGCCGCGUGUAUGAAAAAGGCCAUCGGGUUGUAAAGUACUUUCAGCGGGGAGGCGUUACCCGCAGAAGACGCACCGGCUAACUCCGUGCCAGCAGCCGCAGUAAGUC
Molecule: ribosomal RNA, 406 nt
Filed under: uncultured bacterium
Lineage: Bacteria
Description: partial 16S ribosomal RNA
Rfam family: Bacterial small subunit ribosomal RNA
Source: RNAcentral